RNAcentral lists this ribosomal RNA (497 nucleotides) under uncultured bacterium. Its description in RNAcentral is "partial 16S ribosomal RNA". It matches the Rfam family "Bacterial small subunit ribosomal RNA", at positions 28 to 507 of the family's 1533-position model. The record is from RNAcentral.
GAUGGACGCUGGCGGCGUGCCUAAUACAUGCAAGUCGAGCGAACGGACGAGAAGCUUGCUUCUCUGAUGUUAGCGGCGGACGGGUGAGUAACACGUGGAUAACCUACCUAUAAGACUGGGAUAACUUCGGGAAACCGAAGCUAAUACCGGAUAAUAUUUUGAACCGCAUGGUUCAAAAGUGAAAGACGGUCUUGCUGUCACUUAUAGAUGGAUCCGCGCUGCAUUAGCUAGUUGGUAAGGUAACGGCUUACCAAGGCAACGAUGCAUAGCCGACCUGAGAGGGUGAUCGGCCACACUGGAACUGAGACACGGUCCAGACUCCUACGGGAGGCAGCAGUAGGGAAUCUUCCGCAAUGGGCGAAAGCCUGACGGAGCAACGCCGCGUGAGUGAUGAAGGUCUUCGGAUCGUAAAACUCUGUUAUUAGGGAAGAACAUAUGUGUAAGUAACUGUGCACAUCUUGACGGUACCUAAUCAGAAAGCCACGGCUAACUACGUG